GUUGUUUGUGUGUGUUUCCAACUCGUUGGAAAAACAAGCAGAGUAGAAACUGACUACUCUUUAUUUGAUUGAUGUAGCUGGCAAGCAGGAUCAGAUGUUGACAGGUGUCCCAGCAUGGUCAGACUGGGAAGACCAGUCUAGUUAGCAGUGAAUGGAUACAAAGUUCCAUCUUGAUUUGAUGGGAUCAGAUGGUGACAGUGGCCUCAGCAGGGACAGGCAACCAAGGAAGUCCAGUCUGUGACGGCGCUGAGAAGAAAUUUUGCAGAUGCAACACUUUAUUCACUCUUUGCAGCAAACACUGGACUUAAAAGAUUGAAACUAUUUUAAAGCAGUCUGACAAAACUCUUAAGUUGAUUUCCAAACUGUAUCAAGGGUUAAUAGAGGCUUUUCCCAAUGUCGCAAAACAUUUUAUAACAAAAAUGUGAGGAAGACCUGGGAGAGACUAUUGAUGAUGAUGACUAGAUAUAGAUAUGUUACAAUUUUCAGUCAUGUUCAUAUUAUCUCAGACAUAAAUUACUGCAGUUUAAGACUAUGCAUAGAAACUGAAUAUCAGGCACUCAGAAAUGUAAUUCCUCUGCUGGAGGUCUAAAACACAAAUGUGGACAUACUUGCAUCUCUUAUGAAGGCUGGCUGAAUUCAGGCGAAGUGUAUGUUCUUUUAUCUCAGCAUGUCUACAGGUUCUCCCUUCUCACAGUUUUUGUUUGCUUGGAAAUGUUGAUACUGGAGACUGUUAUCAGAAGAAACUGUGUAACCUAGUAUUUAUAGUGGCUAAGAAAUGCAUUGCCAUUAAUUGGAAGGCUGGUUAUCCUCCCACAGUCACAAUGGAUGGCAGAAAUGUCAAGUUAUGUAUCACUAGAUUUGAUUUAUUAAAGAAUUAAGGGUAUCCUGUGCAACUUUCAUAAGGUAUACCUUAUAUGGAAUACUGUACGACAAAAGGAGUCUAUUGUAUUGAAAACAUGCCCACGUCAGGGAGAUACCUAUUUACGCAAUCCCUAGCUGCUGGGCUGCUCAGUCCUGGCCCUGGGGGUCUUCCGUACUGCUGGUUCUCACUCUGGCCUUGGCCUAACACACCUAAAACCAAUAAUGAAUAUUUCACUAAGAUCCUAAAGCUGAGUGGGGUGUGUUGGGUUGUGGCGCUACAGGGCGGUGGACCUCUAGGUGUAGAACGGGGCAAACCAGCUGUGUGCAAGUAAAAAGGGCCUUACAGUACUAUUAUGCCUAUGACAUGAAUUAUACUGCCCACUGUAAUUAUUGGGACGGUGAAGCAUGUUUCUUCUUUUGGCUCUAUACUCCACAAGUUUGAAUUUGAAAUCAAACAAAUGUCAUAGCUCCAAGACAUGCUAAGCUCUCACCAUUACAAUAACAGGGGAGGCUAGCAUUUGUAUAUGUGUGCGUCAAUAACGUUUUCACUCAUCAUUAUUCAUGAUUCAUUCAGGAUUAUCAAUAAUCAUGGUAGCAUCCACAUUCAUGUAGAAGUGUUCAGAAACAUAUUGUUAUUUACAGUAAAAGUGACCACAAAAUUAACAUAAUCGUAUUAGAUUCUGUAGAAAUGCAAGAAAUGAGCUUUAGAUGACCCAAAAAAUUCUGAGGGAGGACCCCCAGACAGGUUAUGUCUCCCUCCCCACUUCUAAAACCAAAGUUGUGCCCCUGGAAAUAAGUGUUCUUAUAUUUAUUUCUCAUCUGGUCAUAUUAAUCCAACUCCACGAUAAAACCGAAGUAGCCUGCCAGGCAUAAUUGAAAAACGGUCCUGCGGGAAAGCGAGCAGCCUCCAUUCGCUAUUGAAGUGCAUACAGCUGACCUGUCUUUUUUCCCCUACCCCUGUUCUUGCCCAUUAAAAAUGCCCAAUUCUAUAUCAAACUACUUUUACAUUUAAGUAAAUACUAUAUUUAAUUGAGAAUGAUGGGUGAAGGAACAGAGCACAAGCUUUUUCUGCAGCUUUCUCAAAUCAUCCAUAGCCUAUAGUCAGUCGCUCCAUGCAGCCCAUACAUGUUUUGAUUUCUAAGACAUGCAAAGGUUUGUGUCAUUUACAACUAAAGUUGCCAAAUAACUCUAAAUCUAUCGUACACGACCAAAUUAUCAUUUUUACCCUCAACAUAGCCACUUUAUAUGCGCACCUGCCCUGGAAUGGGAAAAAUGGCCUUUCUAUUUUAUUCAGCUAAAUUUCAUUAUAUCCUUCUUACUAUAAAAUCACAUAAUAUAAAAUAAUGGCACGGGACUUAAGAAUAUAUUGUCAGUUAAUUAACAAGCCUACAGCCUAUGGCAUGGAGCAUAGCCAGAUAACAUACAGUAGGCCAACUCAUUCUGUUCUUCUGAAAUACAUUUUCUUCAUUUCAUAAUGUUUCUUUAGACCUGUCUGAAAUAAAUAAUGGAUUUAUUGUGAUGGUGUUUAUUCAAUUCAUUUAUUAUACUUUUUUUUUAACAUGUAGAUGUUCCAAGGGCGUUAUCAGUGGCUUGUAUGCAGCUCCUAUGCGUGGAGGCCUGAAGAUACUAAACCAUGUUAAUGUUUAAUUAAUGGUCAAUUACUGUGAGACCGGAAGACUUUUGCAUGACCCCAACAGCUCAUGCAUGGGUAUAAGCCUGUGUAGGAGGAUUGUGCUGACAUUAUGAAGUAACAUACGUCCCAGUCAGAUAUUUUACAUGAAUAUUCACAGACGCACUGUAUAUACAGACUCAUGCAUACUGUAGUGUAUCUCGGACCUGCCUGGUGUGUUCCUUGUUCUUCAUGAUGCUCUCUGCGCUUUUAACGGACCU
This is a long non-coding RNA of Oncorhynchus mykiss (rainbow trout), 2751 nucleotides long. RefSeq lists it as uncharacterized. The record is from RefSeq and is a predicted model, not a curated record. Lineage: Eukaryota; Metazoa; Chordata; Actinopteri; Salmoniformes; Salmonidae.